UUGAAGGCCUUUCCUGCUUGACAGAUAUGUACCCAACUGUGACAGCGAGGGAGAAAGCAAUGAAUUCUCUAAAUGGUACAGAUCCUAUCGUGUGGACAUUUGGAGGAGGACAGCAAUUGAGGAGGCCUUCAUGAAGGAGAGAGACACCUGUAAGCUGACCCUCGAAGCCAUGAAGAACAGAGGAGAGAUCCACCUGGGCAAAGUCCUGGAACUUGGGAGUGGAGAGGAGCGGAUGCGUGUGAGAAAGUUCACACAUGCUGUGGGGGAAGCCAGCGCCGGGAACUGGAGUUAGAACAAGAUGUGCGUAGCUCUAAGAGGUACCGUGGUAGACUUGUCACUGCUUUGUGGAUUUGGU
RNAcentral lists this long non-coding RNA (355 nucleotides) under Homo sapiens (human). RNAcentral describes it as "non-protein coding lnc-P2RX5-1:2". Lineage: Eukaryota; Metazoa; Chordata; Mammalia; Primates; Hominidae. The record is from RNAcentral.